UUGAGUUUCAAGUUUAAAAUAAGUUUGACGAUGUAAGUAUAUAGUAACAUCUUGAAUAGUUAUAAUUUUGUGUUAUCUUGUUUAACUUUAUGAAUUUUGUAUUACUUUUCUAAAUAUCAGUCUUAACGUGUGUGUUUGACUUUGAUUUCAGGUUAUGUUGUUGGCUUGUUGGAAUGUUGGAUUAUUGUGUUGGCUUAUUGGUAAUUGGUAAGAUCUUCAACUUAAGUUCAUUUUUUUCAUGUGAUCCAUGUGAAAUAAAAGGCUUACUAUCAUCUUAUUGCACGCAAAUGAUAUUAAGAAGAAGAUUGUGUAUUUGUGUAGACUAGCUAGUUGAUGCUCCUUUUCAUAUGUUGAUGCUCUUUUUCAGUUAUAUAUAUAAUAUGCUAUGUUAUCCAGGUGAUUAUGUUUUAUUCUUCGACAUUUACUGAUUGGAGAAUGGAGAAGGUCAUUAUGCUACAAAAAUAAUUUUUUUUUUCUUUUUAUUUUGUUUGCAGUUAGGUGAUGCAGUACAUUUAGUUUGUGGCCUUUCAAUUCAUUUUGGUGAUGCUCGGCUUAUGUUGACAGUUUGGUGAUGCUCAGUUUAUGUUAAUUUAGGGUUUAGUGAUGCAAAACAUUUUGGUGUUGUAAUUUGUUGUUUUUCCUCCAGUCAUGUUGGUUAUGAACUUUGUAACGUCGUAAUGGUUUGCUUUUUAUGAGAUUGUAAUAUUUUAAUUGGUGUGACGAUCUAGCUAGAUUAUUUGAUGUAUUUGACACUAUUUGAGGUGGUAUUUGGCAUUUUGGCCAUUUGGGAGGCUAUUUUUCAUUUAUUUCCUAUAAUCUGUUUUAUACCAGGAAUUCAGGAAAAAGCUGCAAACGAGCUCGAGCCU
Molecule: long non-coding RNA, 866 nt
Filed under: Aquilegia coerulea
Lineage: Eukaryota; Viridiplantae; Streptophyta; Magnoliopsida; Ranunculales; Ranunculaceae
Description: long non-coding RNA (ACOE_LNC001290)
Source: RNAcentral